UGAACUAGAACUGCUCUGUGAAUUAGGUAGUUUCAUGUUGUUGGGCUUUAAAUUUUAAACACAAGAACAUCAAACUACCUGAUUUACUCCAGUUA
MicroRNA precursor from Chrysolophus pictus (golden pheasant), 95 nucleotides. The record is from Ensembl. NCBI's taxonomy places the organism in Eukaryota, Metazoa, Chordata, Aves, Galliformes, Phasianidae.